This 20-nucleotide microRNA is filed under the name Bos taurus (domestic cattle). RNAcentral describes it as "bta-miR-320b". Its record names the gene bta-miR-320b. The record is from miRBase by way of RNAcentral. Lineage: Eukaryota; Metazoa; Chordata; Mammalia; Artiodactyla; Bovidae.
AGCUGGGUUGAGAGGGUGGU